GAUCAGCCACACUGGGACUGAGAUACGGCCCAGACUCCUACGGGAGGCAGCAGUGAGGAAUUUUGCGCAAUGGGCGAAAGCCUGACGCAGCGACGCCUCGUGAAUGAUGAAGUCUUUCGGGAUGUAAAAUUCUGUCAGCAGGGAAGAUAAUGACGGUACCUGCAGAGGAAGCUCCGGCUAACUACGUGCCAGCAGCCGCGGUAAUACGUAGGGAGCAAGCGUUAUCCGGAUUUAUUGGGCGUAAAGAGUGCGAAGGUGGUUUUAUAAGUUAGGUGUUAAAGGCAUGGGCUCAACCCAUGUUCGCGCCUAAAACUAUAAGACUAGAGUAUGUCAGAGGGAAGCGGAACUAAUAGUGUAGCGGUGAAAUGCGUAGAUAUUAUUAGGAACACCAGUGGCGAAGGCGGCUUCCUGGGGCACUACUGACACUCAUGCACGAAAGCGUGGGGAGCAAACAGGAUUAGAUACCCUGGUAGUCCACGCUGUAAACGUUGUUCACUAGGUGUAGGAGGUAUCGACCCCUUCUGUGCCGCAGCUAACGCGAUAAGUGAACCGCCUGGGGAGUACGAGCGCAAGCUUAAAACUCAAAGGAAUUGACGGGGGCCCGCACAAGCAGUGGAGCAUGUGGUUUAAUUCGAUGAUACGCGAAGAACCUUACCUGGGUUUGACAUCCUGCGAAGCCUCUAGAGAUAGAGGGGUGCCUUCGGGAACGCAGAGACAGGUGGUGCAUGGUUGUCGUCAGCUCGUGUCGUGAGAUGUUGGGUUAAGUCCCGCAACGAGCGCAACCCUUGUCGUAUGUUGCCAGCACGUAAUGGUGGGAACUCAUCCGAGACUGCCCGUGGAAAGCGGGAGGAAGGUGGGGAUGACGUCAAAUCAUCAUGCCCCUUAUAUCCAGGGCUACACACAUGCUACAAUGGGUGGUACAAAGGGUUGCCAAGCCGUAAGGUGGAGCUAAUCUCAGAAAACCAUCCUCAGUUCGGAUUGAAGGCUGCAAUUUGCCUUCAUGAAGUUGGAAUUGCUAGUAAACGUAGAUCAGCAAUGCUACGUUGAAUACGUUCCCGGGCCUUGUACACACCGCCCGUCACACCAUGAAAGUCGAAAACGCCCGAAGUUAGUGUACUAACCCGCAAGGGAGGUAGCUACCUAAGGUGGAGUUGAUAAUUGGGGUGAAGUCGGAACAAGGUAGCCGUACCGGGAGGUGUGGCUG
RNAcentral lists this ribosomal RNA (1204 nucleotides) under metagenome. RNAcentral's name for it is "bacterial SSU rRNA". It matches the Rfam family "Bacterial small subunit ribosomal RNA", at positions 302 to 1520 of the family's 1533-position model. The record is from RNAcentral.